UACGUAGGGUGCAAGCGUUGUCCGGAAUUAUUGGGCGUAAAGAGCUCGUAGGUGGCCUGUCGCGUCGGCUGUGAAAACUCGGGGCUCAACUCCGAGCUUGCAGUCGAUACGGGCAGGCUAGAGUUCGGCAGUGGAGACUGGAAUUCCUGGUGUAGCGGUGAAAUGCGCAGAUAUCAGGAGGAACACCGGUGGCGAAGGCGGGUCUCUGGGCCGAUACUGACACUGAGGAGCGAAAGCGUGGGGAGCGAACAGG
This 253-nucleotide ribosomal RNA is filed under the name uncultured bacterium. Its description in RNAcentral is "partial 16S ribosomal RNA". It matches the Rfam family "Bacterial small subunit ribosomal RNA", at positions 524 to 776 of the family's 1533-position model. The record is from RNAcentral.